This 676-nucleotide ribosomal RNA is filed under the name uncultured Lachnospiraceae bacterium. RNAcentral's name for it is "bacterial SSU rRNA". It matches the Rfam family "Bacterial small subunit ribosomal RNA", at positions 49 to 725 of the family's 1533-position model. Lineage: Bacteria; Bacillati; Bacillota; Clostridia; Lachnospirales; Lachnospiraceae. The record is from RNAcentral.
UAACACAUGCAAGUCGAGCGAAGCGCUGUUUUCAGAAUCUUCGGAGGAAGAGGACAGUGACUGAGCGGCGGACGGGUGAGUAACGCGUGGGCAACCUGCCUCAUACAGGGGGAUAACAGUUAGAAAUGACUGCUAAUACCGCAUAAGCGCACAGGACCGCAUGGUGUAGUGUGAAAAACUCCGGUGGUAUGAGAUGGACCCGCGUCUGAUUAGGUAGUUGGUGGGGUAAAGGCCUACCAAGCCGACGAUCAGUAGCCGACCUGAGAGGGUGACCGGCCACAUUGGGACUGAGACACGGCCCAAACUCCUACGGGAGGCAGCAGUGGGGAAUAUUGCACAAUGGGGGAAACCCUGAUGCAGCGACGCCGCGUGAAGGAAGAAGUAUUUCGGUAUGUAAACUUCUAUCAGCAGGGAAGAAGAUGACGGUACCUGAGUAAGAAGCACCGGCUAAAUACGUGCCAGCAGCCGCGGUAAUACGUAUGGUGCAAGCGUUAUCCGGAUUUACUGGGUGUAAAGGGAGCGUAGACGGAUAGGCAAGUCUGGAGUGAAAACCCAGGGCUCAACCUUGGGACUGCUUUGGAAACUGCAGAUCUGGAGUGCCGGAGAGGUAAGCGGAAUUCCUAGUGUAGCGGUGAAAUGCGUAGAUAUUAGGAGGAACACCAGUGGCGAAGGCGGC